Molecule: long non-coding RNA, 733 nt
Organism: Lactuca sativa (garden lettuce)
Lineage: Eukaryota; Viridiplantae; Streptophyta; Magnoliopsida; Asterales; Asteraceae
Source: RefSeq, a predicted model, not a curated record
UGUUAGUGGUGUACAUUGCAUAUGUAUACAAUGCAGGUAGUUUAGUAGGCUACAUUCUUCUAAGUGUUAGCACUUGGUUUAUGGCCAUUUCAUGGCGUUUUGCUCCUUAUUUGUUCAAUCCAUCCGGUUUCAAGUGGCAAAAGUGAGUUUAUUUUUUCUUUUUAUAAUUUAUGACAUCAUCUUUAUAUUUUAUACUUUUUUUUGUUUUCCAUUUUUAGGACGGUAGAGGACUUCAGAGACCGGACAAAUUAGCUCUUCUAUAGAGGUGAAAUUAGCGUUAAAGGAGAAGAAAGUUGGGAAGCUUGGUGAGAUGAAGAAUUGGUAUUACAAUUUUUAAAAAAUAUCCUUGUUUUUCCAUUACCAUGUAUUUAUAUAUAAUUCUUAAUUAUGAUAAAAUGUGAUUCUUUUGUAGUCUCAUAUUCGAAGAAGGGUUAUGGAGACGAUUUUGAGCCUACGGUUAUUCAUAUUCGAAUAUGGUGUUGUUUACAAAUUGGAUGUGCAAGAUUCAAAUACAUCAUUAUCCUGUUGAAGAAGCAGAGUGUGAAAGGGCAUAUGGGUUGGCUAGUGAUCUCUAUGUGUCAAUCUUUGAUCGUACAAAGGCCACCUGAGUUGCAAUGAGAGAAGCACAUGAAGAGGUUGUGCAAAAGGCGAUGUCCAUUUAUAACGCCAUUUCAGUGGGAUUUGGUUCUGCUAGACAAAAAUACGAAAAAAAAUUCAUAUGUUUUUGAAAAAG